GAUGAACGCUAGCGGCAGGCCUAACACAUGCAAGUCGAGGGAGAAGCCCUUUCGGGGGCAGAAACCGGCGCACGGGUGCGUAACGCGUAUGCAACCUACCUUUCACAGGGGGAUAGCCCGAAGAAAUUUGGAUUAAUACCCCAUAAUAUUAUUGGAUGGCAUCAUUUGAUAAUUAAAACUGCGGUGGUGAAAGAUGGGCAUGCGUCCUAUUAGCUAGUUGGAGUGGUAACGGCACCCCAAGGCUACGAUAGGUAGGGGUCCUGAGAGGGAGAUCCCCCACACUGGCACUGAGACAGGGACCAGACUCCUACGGGAGGCAGCAGUGAGGAAUAUUGGUCAAUGGUCGGAAGACUGAACCAGCCAUGCCGCGUGCAGGAAGAAUGCCUUAUGGGUUGUAAACUGCUUUUAUAUGGGAAGAAUAAGGCGUACGUGUACGUUGAUGACGGUACCAUAUGAAUAAGCAUCGGCUAACUCCGUG
RNAcentral lists this ribosomal RNA (478 nucleotides) under uncultured bacterium. RNAcentral's name for it is "partial 16S ribosomal RNA". It matches the Rfam family "Bacterial small subunit ribosomal RNA", at positions 28 to 507 of the family's 1533-position model. The record is from RNAcentral.